GCACGGGUGUCGGAGCGGUUACGUCGGGGAUUGCAAAUCCUCUUACCUGGGUUCAAAUCCCAGCCUGUGCUCCA
This 74-nucleotide transfer RNA is filed under the name Candidatus Poseidonia alphae. Its description in RNAcentral is "tRNA-Cys". It matches the Rfam family "tRNA". Rfam says of the family: Transfer RNA (tRNA) molecules are approximately 80 nucleotides in length. The record is from RNAcentral. RNAcentral also lists the same sequence under 1 other name. Lineage: Archaea; Methanobacteriati; Thermoplasmatota; Candidatus Poseidoniia; Candidatus Poseidoniales; Candidatus Poseidoniaceae.